UGGGGAAUAUNUGCNGCAAUGGGGGGAACCCUGACGCAGCCAUGCCGCGUGAAUGAAGAAGGCCUUAGGGUUGUAAAGUUCUUUCGGUAUUGAGGAAGGUUGAUGUGUUAAUAGCACAUCAAAUUGACGUUAAAUACAGAAGAAGCACCGGCUAACUCCGUGCCAGCAGCCGCGGUAAUACGGAGGGUGCGAGCGUUAAUCGGAAUAACUGGGCGUAAAGGGCACGCAGGCGGUUAUUUAAGUGAGGUGUGAAAGCCCCGGGCUUAACCUGGGAAUUGCAUUUCAGACUGGGUAACUAGAGUACUUUAGGGAGGGGUAGAAUUCCACGUGUAGCGGUGAAAUGCGUAGAGAUGUGGAGGAAUACCGAAGGCGAAGGCAGCCCCUUGGGAAUGUACUGACGCUCAUGUGCGAAAGCGUGGGGAGCAAACAGGAUUAGAUACCCUGGUAGUCCACGCUGUAAACGCUGUCGAUUUGGGGGUUGGGGUUUAACUCUGGCGCCCGUAGCUAACGUGAUAAAUCGACCGCCUGGGGAGUACGGCCGCAAGGUUA
Molecule: ribosomal RNA, 549 nt
Filed under: uncultured bacterium
Lineage: Bacteria
Description: bacterial SSU rRNA
Rfam family: Bacterial small subunit ribosomal RNA
Source: RNAcentral